GCCGAGAUAGCUCAGUCGGUAGAGCAGAGGACUGAAAA
Molecule: transfer RNA, 38 nt
Filed under: Diploblechnum acuminatum
Lineage: Eukaryota; Viridiplantae; Streptophyta; Polypodiopsida; Polypodiales; Blechnaceae
Description: partial tRNA-Phe
Source: RNAcentral